Molecule: ribosomal RNA, 518 nt
Filed under: uncultured bacterium
Lineage: Bacteria
Description: bacterial SSU rRNA
Rfam family: Bacterial small subunit ribosomal RNA
Source: RNAcentral
AAUAGAUACCCGGGUAGUCCACGCCGUAAACGAUGUGGAGCCGGUGCUGGGCAGUGAUUGCGCUGCUCGGUGCCCCAGCUUACGCGAUGACUCCACCGCCUGGGAACUACGGCCGCAAGGCUAAAACUCAAAGGAAUUGACGGGGGGCCCGCACAAGCAGCGGAGCGUGUGGUUUAAUUCGACGCAACACGCAGAACCUCACCUAGGUUUGACAUGUAGCUGCAAGCUCCUGAAAGGGAGUCGCCUUCGAGGGUGCUACACAGGUGCUGCAUGGCUGUCGUCAGCUCGUGUCGUGAGAUGUUGGGUUAAGUCCCGCAACCGAGCGCAACCCCUACCGCGUGUUACUUGUGUCACGCGGGACUGCCGGUGUUGGACACCGGAGGAAGGCGGGGGAUGACGGUCAAGUCCGCAUGGCCCUUACGCCUAGGGCGACACACACGCUACAAUGGGUGCGAAAUGCGCCGCGCCGCGCGAGCGGAAGCUAAUCGCGAAGCCCACCCGUAGUGCAGGAUUGGAGG